GGCGCUAUCGUCUAGUUAGGUUAGGACAUCUGGUUCUCAGCCAGGGGACUGGGGUUCGAAUCCCCAUAGCGCUA
RNAcentral lists this transfer RNA (74 nucleotides) under Candidatus Cloacimonadota bacterium. RNAcentral's name for it is "Candidatus Cloacimonetes bacterium tRNA-Glu". It matches the Rfam family "tRNA". Rfam says of the family: Transfer RNA (tRNA) molecules are approximately 80 nucleotides in length. Their secondary structure includes four short double-helical elements and three loops (D, anti-codon, and T loops). Lineage: Bacteria; Pseudomonadati; Candidatus Cloacimonadota. RNAcentral also lists the same sequence under 1 other name. The record is from RNAcentral.